RNAcentral lists this ribosomal RNA (494 nucleotides) under Shewanella sp. 01WB02.1-29. RNAcentral's name for it is "bacterial SSU rRNA". It matches the Rfam family "Bacterial small subunit ribosomal RNA", at positions 13 to 496 of the family's 1533-position model. Lineage: Bacteria; Pseudomonadati; Pseudomonadota; Gammaproteobacteria; Alteromonadales; Shewanellaceae. The record is from RNAcentral.
UUGAUCCUGGCUCAGAUUGUACGCUGGCGGCAGGCCUAACACAUGCAAGUCGAGCGGCAGCACAAGGGAGUUUACUUCUGAGGUGGCGAGCGGCGGACGGGUGAGUAAUGCCUAGGGAUCUGCCCAGUCGAGGGGGAUAACAGUUGGAAACGACUGCUAAUACCGCAUACGCCCUACGGGGGAAAGGAGGGGACCUUCGGGCCUUCCGCGAUUGGAUGAACCUAGGUGGGAUUAGCUAGUUGGUGAGGUAAUGGCUCACCAAGGCGACGAUCCCUAGCUGUUCUGAGAGGAUGAUCAGCCACACUGGGACUGAGACACGGCCCAGACUCCUACGGGAGGCAGCAGUGGGGAAUAUUGCACAAUGGGGGAAACCCUGAUGCAGCCAUGCCGCGUGUGUGAAGAAGGCCUUCGGGUUGUAAAGCACUUUCAGUAGGGAGGAAAGGGUGUAACUUAAUACGUUAUAUCUGUGACGUUACCUACAGAAGAAGGACCGG